Molecule: ribosomal RNA, 485 nt
Filed under: uncultured Neisseria sp.
Lineage: Bacteria; Pseudomonadati; Pseudomonadota; Betaproteobacteria; Neisseriales; Neisseriaceae
Description: partial 16S ribosomal RNA
Source: RNAcentral
CACGAAGUUAGCCGGGGCUUAUUCUUCCGGUACCGUCAUUAUCGUCCCGGACAAAAGAGCUUUACAACCCUAAGGCCUUCAUCACUCACGCGGCAUGGCUGGAUCAGGCUUGCGCCCAUUGUCCAAAAUUCCCCACUGCUGCCUCCCGUAGGAGUCUGGGCCGUGUCUCAGUCCCAGUGUGGCGGAUCAUCCUCUCAGACCCGCUACUGAUCGUCGCCUUGGUAGGCCUUUACCCCACCAACUAGCUAAUCAGAUAUCGGCCGCUCGAAUAACGCAAGGCCCGAAGGUCCCCUGCUUUCCUCCUCAGAGAAUAUGCGGUAUUAGCUAAUCUUUCGAUUAGUUAUCCCCCAUUACUCGGUACGUUCCGAUAUAUUACUCACCCGUUCGCCACUCGCCACCCAAGAAGCAAGCUUCUCUGUGCUGCCGUCCGACUUGCAUGUGUAAAGCAUGCCGCCAGCGUUCAAUCUGAGCCAGGAUCAAACUCU